AAAUUGAAGAGUUUGAUCAUGGCUCAGAUUGAACGCUGGCGGCAGGCCUAACACAUGCAAGUCGAGCGGUAGCACAGAGAGCUUGCUCUCGGGUGACGAGCGGCGGACGGGUGAGUAAUGUCUGGGAAACUGCCUGAUGGAGGGGGAUAACUACUGGAAACGGUAGCUAAUACCGCAUAAUGUCGCAAGACCAAAGUGGGGGACCUUCGGGCCUCAUGCCAUCAGAUGUGCCCAGAUGGGAUUAGCUAGUAGGUGGGGUAACGGCUCACCUAGGCGACGAUCCCUAGCUGGUCUGAGAGGAUGACCAGCCACACUGGAACUGAGACACGGUCCAGACUCCUACGGGAGGCAGCAGUGGGGAAUAUUGCACAAUGGGCGCAAGCCUGAUGCAGCCAUGCCGCGUGUGUGAAGAAGGCCUUCGGGUUGUAAAGCACUUUCAGCGGGGAGGAAGGCGGUGAGGUUAAUAACCUCAUCGAUUGACGUUACCCGCAGAAGAAGCACCGGCUAACUCCGUGCCAGCAGCCGCGGUAAUACGGAGGGUGCAAGCGUUAAUCGGAAUUACUGGGCGUAAAGCGCACGCAGG
RNAcentral lists this ribosomal RNA (583 nucleotides) under Klebsiella pneumoniae. Its description in RNAcentral is "bacterial SSU rRNA". It matches the Rfam family "Bacterial small subunit ribosomal RNA", at positions 1 to 575 of the family's 1533-position model. The record is from RNAcentral. Lineage: Bacteria; Pseudomonadati; Pseudomonadota; Gammaproteobacteria; Enterobacterales; Enterobacteriaceae.